AGCAAAAGAAACCAACAGGGAUUGCCCUAGUAACGGCGAGUGAAGCGGCAAUAGCUCAAAUUUGAAAUCUGGCCCUCGCGGUCCGAGUUGUAAUUUGUAGAGGAUGCUUUUGGUGCGGUGCCUUCCGAGUUCCCUGGAACGGGACGCCGGAGAGGGUGAGAGCCCCGUACGGUUGGACGCCUAACCUAUAUAUAGCUCCUUCGACGAGUCGAGUAGUUUGGGAAUGCUGCUCUAAAUGGGAGGUAAAUUUCUUCUAAAGCUAAAUACCGGCCAGAGACCGAUAGCGCACAAGUAGAGUGAUCGAAAGAUGAAAAGCACUUUGAAAAGAGGGUUAAAUAGCACGUGAAAUUGUUGAAAGGGAAGCGUUUGCGACCAGACCUUUUCCAGGGGGAUCAGCCGGUGUUCUCACCGGUGCACUUCCCCUGGUUUAGGCCAGCAUCGGUUCUCCUAGGGGGAUAAAGGCGGGGGGAACGUAGCUCUUUCGGGAGUGUUAUAGCCCCCCGCGUAAUACCCCUCGGGGGACCGAGGACCGCGCUCUGCAAGGAUGCUGGCGUAAUGGUCGUCAACGAC
RNAcentral lists this ribosomal RNA (570 nucleotides) under Hypoxylon sp. CHTAR133. RNAcentral describes it as "eukaryotic LSU rRNA". It matches the Rfam family "Eukaryotic large subunit ribosomal RNA", at positions 54 to 648 of the family's 3401-position model. Lineage: Eukaryota; Fungi; Ascomycota; Sordariomycetes; Xylariales; Hypoxylaceae. The record is from RNAcentral.